RNAcentral lists this ribosomal RNA (459 nucleotides) under uncultured bacterium. RNAcentral's name for it is "partial 16S ribosomal RNA". It matches the Rfam family "Bacterial small subunit ribosomal RNA", at positions 338 to 795 of the family's 1533-position model. The record is from RNAcentral.
CCUACGGGUGGCAGCAGUGAGGAAUAUUGGUCAAUGGCCGAGAGGCUGAACCAGCCAAGUCGCGUGAGGGAAGACGGCCCUACGGGUUGUAAACCUCUUUUGUCGGGGAGCAAAGCGAACCACGUGUGGUUCAUUGAGAGUACCCGAAGAAAAAGCAUCGGCUAACCCCGUGCCAGCAGCCGCGGUAAUACGGGGGAUGCGAGCGUUAUCCGGCUUUAUUGGGUUUAAAGGGUGCGCAGGCGGAGGUGCAAGUCAGCGGUCAAAUUUCGGGGCUCAACCCCGUACUGCCGUUGAAACUGGAUCCCUUGAGAGCGCGAGAAGUAUGCGGAAUGCGUGGUGUAGCGGUGAAAUGCAUAGAUAUCACGCAGAACUCCGAUUGCGAAGGCAGCAUACCGGCGCGCAACUGACGCUCAUGCACGAAAGCGUGGGUAUCGAACAGGAUUAGAUACCCUGGUAGUC